RNAcentral lists this long non-coding RNA (1410 nucleotides) under Equus asinus (donkey). RNAcentral describes it as "lncRNA (ENSEASG00005026362.1)". The record is from RNAcentral. Lineage: Eukaryota; Metazoa; Chordata; Mammalia; Perissodactyla; Equidae.
GUACUGGGGGGCUUUGGGGACAAGAAAAAAAAAGAGAUUGGCAACAGAUGUUAGCUUAGGGCCAAUCUUUUACAAAAAAGUUCUCCAGGUGAUUUUUAUUCACACCAAAGUUUAAGAACCACUUUCCUAAAGGAGUGUGGAACUGGGGAGAAAAAUCACACCAUAAAUUUUACCUCUUGCUCAACCUAUGGCACAUUUACCAGAUAGUAUUCAGCCUAGAUUAAACAUCAAGGUAAACUUGAAGGAGAGAGAAGUCACACAUGAGAAGGAGCAAACACCUGUGUGUGUGUGUCGGGCCUGUGAUUUGCUCUGACUAUCAAUGUUUACUGAACGGAGGGGAAGAAGCUCUGGGCUGAACAGGAUUCCAGAAAUGGCUGAGGCCUGGAGCCGGUUGCUUGAGGCCCCAUGGAGAGUGGUUCCCUGAGCAGACAUUCAAAAGACACAGGAUACUUGAUGUAACUCUGAGCAAGUAUAUCAGCAGCAAUCACUUUCCAGGAGUAACGAAAGCUGCCAUCUGAUGGUUACGCGCUGGGCCUCAAGCUAAGCUCUUUAUGUUCCCCACGUUGAAUCCUCACAGCGACUCUCUGAGAUGGGAUUAUACACAUCUUAGAAAUGAGGAAACUGUUUCACAGGGAAUAGCUCAGUCAUUGCCCCAGGUCACACAGCCAGGUGGUGGAGCACCUAGGAUUUGAACCCAAGAAUUCUGCCUUCCAAGUUCAUCGUAUCGUCUUUCCCUAUACUGUGAGGCAGCCUGAGUUUAGCUCCAAAACCAAAGCUUAUUACAACGAUGGAAAAGUGCUAGAGGGGUGGAGUAGACAAUGCAAUUUCCCCAUAGAAGUCAUGGAAUUUCUCUAACUACUUGGACGCCCUACAAGUGAGAUUGCAUAGUUCUGAAAGGAGGGGUCCCCUACUCUGCAGCCCUUGUCCACUGACGCGUCCUGUUAAUUAGAAGCCACACACAUGCCCGCGCGCGCGCACACAGCACCUAGCAUCUGAAACAGACUCAUGAAACACCAGCAGGUGGCUGACAGGAAGCCUAGGGUUUCAAAGGACAACACUCAGGUAGAUCGCAGUCAGCAGGGGAUGGCAGCCGGGAGGGCAAGGCUCCUCAAACCACAGAAGUUCCACAGCGCUGCUCACGCGUGUGGUCGGAGCCCUCUGCAAACACUGCACCUCAGCUACAGCAUCCCACCGCUGGAUGGAAGUCCUUCCCUUGUUUCGGUCGAGUUUGCCCUUCUGGUGCAGGCACCCCGUCUCCCGGCCUGAGAAUAAUGAAUUAGGCUGUGUGUGGUGUACCGGGAAGGGCAGUAAUUUUCCUGAGCAACAAGAACUGACGUUUUCCCAUGGCUAAUCAGAAAGGAACUAAGCACUAUAAUGUUAGUAAAUCCCUUCAGCUCCUGGGAUAAGAGC